AAUUAAAAAUUUCAUUCAUUUCUAUUGUUAAAAAUUGAAAUGGCUGACAAAAUAACCAGACUGUUGCAUUUGGCAUAUCACGUAUACCUUACGCUGACAUAUAAGGACCAGUUUUUAACAGUAAAACUAGAUGUAAUUUUUAACA
Gossypium arboreum is the source of this 145-nucleotide microRNA precursor. It matches the Rfam family "MIR7502 microRNA precursor family". The record is from Rfam. Lineage: Eukaryota; Viridiplantae; Streptophyta; Magnoliopsida; Malvales; Malvaceae.